RNAcentral lists this ribosomal RNA (408 nucleotides) under Triticum aestivum (bread wheat). Its description in RNAcentral is "partial small subunit ribosomal RNA". The record is from RNAcentral. Lineage: Eukaryota; Viridiplantae; Streptophyta; Magnoliopsida; Poales; Poaceae.
AUGACAACCAACUGCCCCAUAGUUAGCUGGAACAUGCGCGGGCUCAAUAUGCCCGCGAAACGAGAUACUGUCUGUGAAGUAGUGGCGGCGCAUCGACCAGAGAUUCUUUGCCUUCAGGAAAUGAAGAUCGACAGCUAGUCGCCGGCCCUAGUCAGGGACGUAGGAGGGAGUAGGUUAGCCGACUACGUAGUUUUACCUGCGAUCGGCUCCAGGGGCGGGGUGGCCAUUCUGUGGGAUGGCCAGAUCGUCUCGAUCGUGUCCCAUGCCAUUGGGGAAUUCACCAUCACUUCAAAAGUCAACGUCCUCCGCUCGGCCACCGUGUUCUGGUUAACCGCAGUCUAUGGGCCGACGGAGGACGCUCGGAAGGACGCGUUCCUGCUCGAGUUGGCUAGAUCAGCCCCCCUCUAG